Molecule: ribosomal RNA, 788 nt
Filed under: uncultured eukaryote
Lineage: Eukaryota
Description: SSU rRNA
Rfam family: Eukaryotic small subunit ribosomal RNA
Source: RNAcentral
ACUGUGAAACUGCGAAUGGCUCAUUAAAUCAGUUAUGGUUUAUUUGAUGGUACCUUGCUACUUGGAUAACCGUAGUAAUUCUAGAGCUAAUACAUGCAGGAGUUCCCGACUCACGGAGGGAUGUAUUUAUUAGAUAAGAAACCAAACCGGUCUCCGGUUGCGUGCUGAGUCAUAAUAACUGCUCGAAUCGCACGGCUCUACGCCGGCGAUGGUUCAUUCAAAUUUCUGCCCUAUCAGCUUUCGAUGGUAGGAUAGAGGCCUACCAUGGCGUUAACGGGUAACGGAGAAUUAGGGUUCGAUUCCGGAGAGGGAGCCUGAGAAAUGGCUACCACAUCCAAGGAAGGCAGCAGGCGCGUAAAUUGCCCGAAUCCUGACACAGGGAGGUAGUGACAAGAAAUAACAAUACAGGGCUAUUUUAGUCUUGUAAUUGGAAUGAGUACAAUUUACAUCUCUUCACGAGGAUCAAUUGGAGGGCAAGUCUGGUGCCAGCAGCCGCGGUAAUUCCAGCUCCAAUAGCGUAUAUUAAAGUUGUUGCAGUUAAAACGCUCGUAGUCGGAUUUCGGGGCGGGCCGACCGGUCUGCCGAUGGGUAUGCACUGGCCGGCGCGUCCUUCCACCCGGAGACCGCGCCUACUCUUAACUGAGCGGGCGCGGGAGACGGGUCUUUUUACUUUGAAAAAUUCAGAGUGUUUCAAGCAGGCAGUCGCUCUUGCAUGGAUUAGCAUGGGAUAAUGAAAUAGGACUCUGGUGCUAUUUUGUUGGUUUCGAACANCGGAGUAAUGAUUAACA